CCUACGGGUGGCUGCAGUGGGGAAUAUUGGACAAUGGGGGGAACCCUGAUCCAGCCAUGCCGCGUGUGUGAAGAAGGCCCUCGGGUUGUAAAGCACUUUCAGUGAGGAAGAACGCCUGGUGGUUAAUACCCAUCAGGAAAGACAUCACUCACAGAAGAAGCACCGGCUAACUCCGUGCCAGCAGCCGCGGUAAUACGGAGGGUGCGAGCGUUAAUCGGAAUUACUGGGCGUAAAGCGCGCGUAGGUGGCUUGAUAAGCCGGUUGUGAAAGCCCCGGGCUCAACCUGGGAACGGCAUCCGGAACUGUCAAGCUAGAGUGCAGGAGAGGAAGGUAGAAUUCCCGGUGUAGCGGUGAAAUGCGUAGAGAUCGGGAGGAAUACCAGUGGCGAAGGCGGCCUUCUGGACUGACCCUGACACUGAGGUGCGAAAGCGUGGGUAGCAAGCAGGAUUAGAGACCCUAGUAGUC
This 465-nucleotide ribosomal RNA is filed under the name Vreelandella stevensii. RNAcentral describes it as "partial 16S ribosomal RNA". It matches the Rfam family "Bacterial small subunit ribosomal RNA", at positions 338 to 795 of the family's 1533-position model. The record is from RNAcentral. Lineage: Bacteria; Pseudomonadati; Pseudomonadota; Gammaproteobacteria; Oceanospirillales; Halomonadaceae.